RNAcentral lists this ribosomal RNA (492 nucleotides) under uncultured bacterium. RNAcentral describes it as "partial 16S ribosomal RNA". It matches the Rfam family "Bacterial small subunit ribosomal RNA", at positions 29 to 507 of the family's 1533-position model. The record is from RNAcentral.
AGUGAACGCUGGCGGUAGGCCUAACACAUGCAAGUCGAACGGCAGCACAGUAAGAGCUUGCUCUUACGGGUGGCGAGUGGCGGACGGGUGAGGAAUACAUCGGAAUCUACUUUUUCGUGGGGGAUAACGUAGGGAAACUUACGCUAAUACCGCAUACGACCUACGGGUGAAAGCAGGGGAUCUUCGGACCUUGCGCGAUUGAAUGAGCCGAUGUCGGAUUAGCUAGUUGGCGGGGUAAAGGCCCACCAAGGCGACGAUCCGUAGCUGGUCUGAGAGGAUGAUCAGACACACUGGAACUGAGGCACGGUCCAGACUCCUACGGGAGGCAGCAGUGGGGAAUACUGGACAAUGGGCGCAAGCCUGAUCCAGCCAUACCGCGUGGGUGAAGAAGGCCUUCGGGUUGUAAAGCCCUUUUGUUGGGAAAGAAAAGCAGCAGGUUAAUACCCCGCUGUUCUGACGGUACCCAAAGAAUAAGCACCGGCUAACUUCGUG